AUCCAGCCGGUGAGUCCCAAAUAGGACGAAACAUGCGUUCUGGAU
RNAcentral lists this non-coding RNA (45 nucleotides) under Schistosoma haematobium. The record is from RNAcentral. Lineage: Eukaryota; Metazoa; Platyhelminthes; Trematoda; Strigeidida; Schistosomatidae.